GAGACAAGGGCCCAGGCCCUACGGGGCGCAGCAGUCGCGAAAACUUUGCAAUACACGAAAGUGUGACAAGGCUAUCCCGAGUGCCAUCCGCUGAGGAAGGCUUUUACCCAGUAUAAAUAGCUGGGAGAAUAAGGAGAGGGCAAGUCUGGUGUCAGCCGCCGCGGUAAUACCAGCUCUCCGAGUAGUGUGGAUGUUUAUUGGGCCUAAAGCAUCCGUAGCUUGCUAAGCAAGUCCCCUGUUAAAUCCACCGAUUUAAUCGUUGGAUUGCGGGGGAUACUGUUUGGCUAGGGGACGGGAGAGGCCGACGGUAUUUCCGGGGUAGGGGUGAAAUCCUAUAAUCCCGGGAAGACCACCAGUGGCGAAGGCUGUCGGCUAGAACGCGCCCGACGGUGAGGGAUGAAAGCUGGGGGAGCGAACCGGAUUAGAUACCCGGGUAGUCCCAGCUGUAAACGAUGCAGGCUAGGUGUUUGGGCGGCCAAGAGCCGCUCUAGUGCCGCAGGGAAGCUGUUAAGCCUGCCGCCUGGGGAGUACGGCCGCAAGGCUGAAACUUAAAGGAAUUGGCGGGGGAGCACCACAAGGGGUGAAGCUUGCGGUUUAAUUG
Molecule: ribosomal RNA, 601 nt
Filed under: uncultured archaeon
Lineage: Archaea
Description: bacterial SSU rRNA
Rfam family: Archaeal small subunit ribosomal RNA
Source: RNAcentral